This 449-nucleotide ribosomal RNA is filed under the name uncultured bacterium. RNAcentral's name for it is "bacterial SSU rRNA". It matches the Rfam family "Bacterial small subunit ribosomal RNA", at positions 29 to 465 of the family's 1533-position model. The record is from RNAcentral.
AGUGAACGCUGGCGGCAGGCCUAACACAUGCAAGUCGAGCGGCAGCGCGUCCGACCACCCUCGGGUGGUCGGAUGGCGGCGAGCGGCGGACGGGUGAGGAAUGCAUCGGAAUCUGCCUCGUUGUGGGGGAUAACGUAGGGAAACUUACGCUAAUACCGCAUACGACCUACGGGUGAAAGUGGGGGACCUUCGGGCCUCACGCGAUGAGAUGAGCCGAUGCCGGAUUAGCUAGUUGGCGGGGUAAAGGCCCACCAAGGCGACGAUCCGUAGCUGGUCUGAGAGGAUGAUCAGCCACACUGGAACUGAGACACGGUCCAGACUCCUACGGGAGGCAGCAGUGGGGAAUAUUGGACAAUGGGGGGCAACCCUGAUCCAGCCAUGCCGCGUGUGUGAAGAAGGCCUCGGUUGUAAGUACACUUAAGUCGAGGAGGAAGUUAGUUUUAGUUUAA